GAAAUGCGAUACGUAAUGCGAAUUGCAGAAUCCAGUGAGUCAUCGAAACUUUGAACGCACCUUGCGCUUCCGGGUAACCGGGAGCAUGUCUGUUGGAGAGCCUGUUCUCAAGCACAACUCUCUUUCUGUCGAAGGAGAGCAGUGCCUGCUUUGUUUUCUUUUCCGAUUUCGGAAGGGGGAAAAACUGCCUUGAGAUGAAAGGCCUCUCGCAACCCCGCCCUGCCUGCCUGGGACACACACCGGGAAAAAUAAACCAAAACGGGUUGUGAAUGUCGUGAUUACUACUUUUGUUAUCACAUCAACACAUUCGCAUCAAAAAGCAGCCCGCUUUGUUUUGUUUAUUCUCCUCUGUUCCUUCAAAGGGUCGGGCGGAUUGUUGCGCCAAAAACAACCCCACAUCGGGCCUCCAAUCAGACAAGAAGACCCGCUGAAUUUAA
Molecule: unclassified non-coding RNA, 437 nt
Filed under: uncultured Physalospora
Lineage: Eukaryota; Fungi; Ascomycota; Sordariomycetes; Amphisphaeriales; Hyponectriaceae
Description: sequence contains ITS1
Rfam family: 5.8S ribosomal RNA (bases 1-103)
Source: RNAcentral